Molecule: ribosomal RNA, 254 nt
Filed under: uncultured bacterium
Lineage: Bacteria
Description: partial 16S ribosomal RNA
Rfam family: Bacterial small subunit ribosomal RNA
Source: RNAcentral
UACGUAGGGGGCGAGCGUUGUCCGGAUUUAUUGGGCGUAAAGAGCUCGUAGGCGGUUUGGUAAGUCAGGUGUGAAAUCUCCACGCUCAACGUGGAGGGGCCACCUGAUACUGCCAUGACUGGAGUCCGGUAGAGGAGUGUGGAAUUCCCGGUGUAGCGGUGAAAUGCGCAGAUAUCAGGAGGAACACCAAUUGCGAAGGCAGCUCGCUGGAACGUAACUGACGCUGAGACGCGAAAGCGUGGGGAGCAAACAGG